GUGUGAAGAAGGCCCUUCGGGUUGUAAAGCACUUUAAGCAGGGAGAAAAAGUUAUAAGUUAAUACCUUAUGACCUUGAUGUUACCUGCAGAAUAAGCACCGGCUAAUUCCGUGCCAGCAGCCGCGGUAAUACGGAAGGUGCAAGCGUUAAUCGGAAUUACUGGGCGUAAAGCGCGCGUAGGUGGUUUGUUAAGUUGGAUGUGAAAGCCCUGGGCUCAACCUAGGAACUGCAUCCAAAACUAACUCACUAGAGUACGAUAGAGGGAGGUAGAAUUCAUAGUGUAGCGGUGGAAUGCGUAGAUAUUAUGAAGAAUACCAGUGGCGAAGGCGGCCUCCUGGAUCUGUACUGACACUAAGGUGCGAAAGCGUGGGUAGCGAACAGGAUUAGAUACCCUGGUAGUCCACGCCGUAAACGAUGACAACUAGCUGUUGGAAGACAACGUCUUUCAGUGGCGCAGCUAACGUUUUAAGUUGUCCGCCUGGGGAGUACGGCCGCAAGGCUAAAACUCAAAUGAAUUGACGGGGACCCGCACAAGCGGUGGAGCAUGUGGUUUAAUUCGAUGCAACGCGAAAAACCUUACCUACUCUUGACAUACUUGGAAACUCUUGUAAUGAGAGUGUGCCUUUUGGAACCAAGAUACAGGUGCUGCAUGGCUGUCGUCAGCUCGUGUCGUGAGAUGUUCCGUUAAGUCGGAUAACGAGCGCAACCCUUACCCUUAUUUGCCAGCGAUUCGGUCGGGAACUAUAAGGGGACUGCCGGUGAUAAACCGGAGGAAGGUGAGGACGACGUCAAGUCAUCAUGGCCCUUACGAGUAGGGCU
Molecule: ribosomal RNA, 819 nt
Filed under: uncultured Gammaproteobacteria bacterium
Lineage: Bacteria; Pseudomonadati; Pseudomonadota; Gammaproteobacteria
Description: bacterial SSU rRNA
Rfam family: Bacterial small subunit ribosomal RNA
Source: RNAcentral